GACGAACGCUGGCGGCGUGCUUAACACAUGCAAGUCGAGCGGUAAGGACCCUUUCGGGGGUACGACGAGCGGCGAACGGGUGAGUAACACGUGGGUGACCUGCCUCUAGCUCUGGGAUAAGCCCGGGAAACUGGGUCUAAUACUGGAUAUGACUCCAUGACGCAUGUUGUGGGGUGGAAAGCCUUGUGCGGCUAGAGAUGGGCCCGCGGCCUAUCAGCUUGUUGGUGGGGUGANGGCCCUACCAAGGCGACGACGGGUAGGCCGGCCUGAGAGGGCGACCGGCCACACUGGGACUGAGACACGGCCCAGACUCCUACGGGAGGCAGCAGUGGGGAAUCUUGCGCAAUGGGCGAAAGCCUGACGCAGCGACGCCGCGUGA
This 379-nucleotide ribosomal RNA is filed under the name uncultured bacterium. RNAcentral's name for it is "bacterial SSU rRNA". It matches the Rfam family "Bacterial small subunit ribosomal RNA", at positions 28 to 404 of the family's 1533-position model. The record is from RNAcentral.